GUGGUGGUGUUCAGCCGCCGAUGAUGAAUCCACUCCCGCCCGGUCCUCCUCCUCCGCCGGGUUUGAUGAGCACGGUCCAGUCACAAAUGAUGAACGCUAACAACCAGGCUCAGAUGCUGAGCGGUCAUAGUCAGGCUAUGAACCAGCAGCCGAUGAUGAUGGCGGCGAUGAAUAAUCAGAGAGUGUACAAGCCAUGGAUGCAGCAGAA
Molecule: long non-coding RNA, 208 nt
Filed under: Linum usitatissimum (flax)
Lineage: Eukaryota; Viridiplantae; Streptophyta; Magnoliopsida; Malpighiales; Linaceae
Description: long non-coding RNA (LUSI_LNC000096)
Source: RNAcentral